This is a long non-coding RNA of Sphaerodactylus townsendi, 1501 nucleotides long. RefSeq lists it as uncharacterized. Lineage: Eukaryota; Metazoa; Chordata; Lepidosauria; Squamata; Sphaerodactylidae. The record is from RefSeq and is a predicted model, not a curated record. The transcript has 2 exons.
AACCCUCGCCUCCACUUAAUGCUAAGUUUUCUGGACUCCUCCGACCUCCCGGAUUUUCUCUUCUUUCAGAGCAUGGAGAGGACAGACAUAUUCAAAGCAAGAGAUGGAAAAUGAAGCGAGAUGUGCGCACUUAAUAUUUGAUGCUUUGGCCUGAUGAACUUCCAGAGGGCCUGUGUGCAGCGUUCCACAAUGUGGCUCAUUUGAAGGAAGCUGGCGGCUGUCAAGUAAUUCACCAGCUCCAUCUCGGGAAACUCCAGGAUGCCACUGUAACAGGACAGGAGCAGCUGCUUUCCUACUUCAGAACUCUGCAAGAUGGAAAUUUUAACUUCUCUGGAGUCAUUCAGGAGGAACUGGUCCCGUAAGAAGGGAGAGCCGGCAGCAAACACAAUCUUGUGGCCGUGAAUUUCAAGAUCGUCAAUGCGGACUGUGAUGUCGCAAAACUUGUUCUCUUCUCUCAGCUUGUCCAUUUUCUGCAGCAUUGAGUCGCCAUAGUUAUCAAACUGGAAAUGAAGAAUAUCAGAUCUCUCAGUCAUUUUGACAAAAUUGAAGGCUAUCUACAAAGAGAGAGAAAAACGUUAUAGAACAAAAAUAUUUACAAUAUAUUCAAACAAGAAGCCUUAGACUAAGGAAUAAUGCUGCCAUUUAAAACCACAAUAUGCUUUCUGCAGUUCUUGCACUUUUCUGUUCCCACUGGAAAUAAUUAUAUAUUUUUAUUUUGAACCCCAUCCAGUCUGACCGACUGAACUAAGAAAGAGAAUGUGCAAUACACAAUGGGACCAUAAAUUGGUUUUAAAAAAUUAAUUAACUUAAUAAUAGCAGCUAAUAUUUUCUUAGUGUUAAGAUCACUUACAUCAGUGUCUCAUAAGUGAAAGCUAACAUUCUCUGCAGGAGUAGGGAGAGGGUGCUGCUGUUGACAGGCAGCAGCUUGCCUGACCUGGUUUCUGAGUAAGCUGGCAAAUAUGAAAUUUGAAUUGCAGACCUCUGUGCUGAGACUUUUAGCAGCCACUGCACACCAGCCUUUUCAUAAACAAUGCAGCUCACUAAUGGAACUUAUCAUACUUGUGGGAUUCAUGGCUAUAGCAUAUGGUGAUGGGUAAAAGCUCACACACUUAAAAAAAUUAUAAAUUUCUGUGCAGUAGAAAAGACAUACCAGCCAUGAUAGAGGGAUCAAAAAUGCCAGCAGCCAACAACAGGAGAAAUCUGUGAUCUUCAUGCCCUUAUUGUGAACUUCCCAGAAAGCAUUUGGUUGGCUGUUGUUAGGAAAGGGGGCUUGGCACACAGAGUCAUAUACCUAGCAUGUCCACAGAAUCAAGUGAUGCUUAAAGACAGAUUAUCACUAUUUAACUUCUAUGGUUAAAAUAUGUCCAUGUUCCUAGCUAAUUUGUGUGUGUGUGUGUGUUAUCAACAAUGAUAGUUUAUUUAUGCAUUAUUAUUUCAAAGUGUAGGGCAUCCACCUUAUAAUUACAGCACAAAGUAAUAAAUAUACACAUUGUUGGCUCAU